Molecule: transfer RNA, 74 nt
Filed under: Flavobacteriaceae bacterium
Lineage: Bacteria; Pseudomonadati; Bacteroidota; Flavobacteriia; Flavobacteriales; Flavobacteriaceae
Also listed under: 4 other names
Description: tRNA-Cys
Rfam family: tRNA
About the family: Transfer RNA (tRNA) molecules are approximately 80 nucleotides in length. Their secondary structure includes four short double-helical elements and three loops (D, anti-codon, and T loops).
Source: RNAcentral
GGCUGAGUGGCAGAGUGGUCAUGCAGCGGACUGCAAAUCCGUCCACGCCGGUUCGAUUCCGACCUCAGCCUCCA